Long non-coding RNA from Oryzias melastigma (Indian medaka), 611 nucleotides. RefSeq lists it as uncharacterized. The transcript has 3 exons. NCBI's taxonomy places the organism in Eukaryota, Metazoa, Chordata, Actinopteri, Beloniformes, Adrianichthyidae. The record is from RefSeq and is a predicted model, not a curated record.
UGUGCGCUGAGGUUUCUGGGAGAUGUGUCUUCAGUGCUCUGGAGACAGCUCCCGCCAGUGACCAGAGGGUGAGACAGAAUUCUGACUCCUGACAGACGGCUCCAGAAGCAUAUUCGUCCCAAACCAGGAAUCGACUCCAGUCCUCUUGAUGACAGCUACAGUAGAUGAGAAGUGUGGGUCCAUUGAAGGCAUCGGCUGCUCGACCGCAGUCAGGUGAGGGCUCACCUGUCCGCCUGCAGCAGCAAACAAAGUCGGUCCUGGAUUCCUCCUGCUGAUCAGCUCAGCCUCCUUACAAUCUUCUGGUGGGACCUGAAGGUGCUCUCACAAGCACAAAAGCUGGGACAUCCAGUUCCUGCAGGGGGUCAAGGGUCUUCUCCAGCGCUUCCUCAAUGCGGGACAGGCCCAAAACACCAACCCCAGGAAGCACCAAGGAGACUCAGAGUGAAAUGUCUGAAUCAUCUCAGGAUGAGGACCAAAGAAACACAGGGUCGUCCCCCUCAAGGCGCCGCCAUUUUGGCAGGAAUUGAGCCGAGGAACUGAAUAGGCUGACUGCCGCAGUGAAGGAGGCUAACCAUGGCAGACAACUGUUGCUCCCAAGAUUGUACAAAUAG